AUUCUUGUAUGGUUCAUAAGUAUGAUGCUUAAAUUUUCACACCAUUGCACGAAUGCAUCUCCUUCAAAUAUGGUUAACACAUUGGCAUAUUACCCAUCUGAUG
Small nucleolar RNA from Ochotona princeps (American pika), 103 nucleotides. The record is from Ensembl. Lineage: Eukaryota; Metazoa; Chordata; Mammalia; Lagomorpha; Ochotonidae.